This 407-nucleotide ribosomal RNA is filed under the name uncultured bacterium. RNAcentral describes it as "partial 16S ribosomal RNA". It matches the Rfam family "Bacterial small subunit ribosomal RNA", at positions 30 to 526 of the family's 1533-position model. The record is from RNAcentral.
AUUGAACGCUGGCGGCAGGCCUAACACAUGCAAGUCGAGCGGAGCGGCGGACGGGUGAGUAAUGCCUCGGUAUCUGCCUGGUAGUGGGGGAUAACGUCCGGAAACGGGCGCUAAUACCGAAUACUUUCAGAUGAGCCUAGGUCGGCUUAGCUAGUUGGUGGGGUAAAGGCCUACCAAGGCGACGAUCCGUAACUGGUCUGAGAGGAUGAUCAGUCAGACUGGAACUGAGACACGGGCCAGACGCCUACGGGAGGCAGCAGUGGGGAAUAUUGGACAAUGGGCGAAAGCCUGAUGCAGCCAUGCCGCGUGUGUGAAGAAGGUCUUCGGGUUGUAAAGCACUUUAAGUUGGGAGGCGUUACCAACAGAAUAAGCACCGGCUAACUUCGUGCCAGCAGCCGCGGUAAUAC